AAGAGACAGCAGCAGCCGCGGUAAUACGGAGGGGGCUAGCGUUGUUCGGAAUUACUGGGCGUAAAGCGCAUGUAGGCGGCUUGGUAAGUUAGAGGUGAAAGCCUGGAGCUCAACUCCAGAAUUGCCUUUAAGACUGCCGAGCUAGCAGGUGAGAGAGGUAAGUGGAAUUCCGAGUGUAGAGGUGAAAUUCGUAGAUAUUCGGAAGAACACCAGUGGCGAAGGCGGCUUACUGGCUCAUACUGGACGCUGAGGUGCGAAAGCGUGGGGAGCAAACAGGAUUAGAUACCCCUGUAGUCCCUGUCUCUUAUAC
Molecule: ribosomal RNA, 310 nt
Filed under: uncultured bacterium
Lineage: Bacteria
Description: partial 16S ribosomal RNA
Rfam family: Bacterial small subunit ribosomal RNA
Source: RNAcentral